Molecule: long non-coding RNA, 21930 nt
Organism: Meriones unguiculatus (Mongolian gerbil)
Lineage: Eukaryota; Metazoa; Chordata; Mammalia; Rodentia; Muridae
Exons: 7
Source: RefSeq, a predicted model, not a curated record
UCCUACCUCAUGGACUAUUAGGUUCUUUCUGAUUCCCCCUCCAGCAUCACCAUUACUAAUGGUAUGGUCCUUAGCAUCAGGUCCUUUUUGUCCCCCACUGGUCUACUGAGCAGACUUGACGCAGCUUCAUCUCAUUUCGGAUGCACCAUGAGCCCCCAACCCCCACUCAGCAGUGCCUUACUCCUGUGUGAGCACUAGAAACUGGACCAAGUGGGGUGAAAAUGGCCAGAAAUUGCUUUUGAUCCCUUUAUAUCUUUUAUGACUAAGAACAAAAAAAUCAUUUCUGACCAGUUAAAAAAUCCAUCUGAGCCAGUUUCAGAUAACUGUGCAGAGCUGGAGCCUGAGGUCAGUGAACCCAGGAAGAUGGCUGAAGACCAUGCUGACUCAAGCCCAGACAAGGAGCCAGAUUUCUUGGAUUCCAGAUUCACUUCUUCAACUUUACCCUGGACCUGUGGCGACUGGAAACCUUGAGAUGUGGACAAAGAAGAGCAUGGCAAAGAUUUUUGUUGUGGUGCUCCGUGAACAAGAUGGAGGAACUAUGAGUCAGCACUGCUUUUCUAGUUAGAUUCUAAAUAGGUUUUUUUAAUAAAGUUAAGGAUGACCUUGAACUUCUGAUCCUUCUGCCUCUGCUCCUAAGUGCUGGAGGAUCAAAGGUGUGUGCCACCAACUGCUGAGGAUUGAACUCUGGACUUUGUGCUUGCUAAAGAAGCACUCCACGAGCUGAACAACAUCAAUAGCCUUGUAUGUUGCCCUCUUCUCUUCCCAGAUGAGAAAACUGGGGCUCAUAGAGAUUCUGAGACUUGCCCAAAGCCAUGCAGCUAGUUCACAGUGAGGCACAGAAUCAGUUCUAGAAGCACCUCAGGAAAUUCGGAUACAUUUUGUGGCCUGGAGAGAUCACCUCCCUCACCAUCUUACUUAGUGCCUGUCAGUCAUCAAUCUCUAGCUUCCCUGUGACCCUGCUCCACCACAGAAUGCAGCUACUGAGGGGCUUAAGAACCAGCACCUUCAUGGAGUUGCAAAGCCGUAUAUCAUAUGUCCUGUGUUCAUGCUGUCCACCCUCUUCCAUAUAUUCUCCAACACUUAACCCUACAGCCGUGACAGAAGGCAAGAUUGAAAGGUGUGUCCUUGCAGAAUAACAUGUUUCUCAGAAGCCUUAUCACAGAAGUCAUUGGCCAGGUAGGCCACUUCUAUCCUGUUUGCUGGCAGCGUUCCUCCAGUUUCCAGUACUACUAUCCACUGGAGACUGGGCAGGACUGGGAAGCAGCUGUCCCUAGCAGAAGGACUGCAUUAGGAAACACUUCACUUGGAAGUUAAGGUAAGAAAAAAUCAGGCAAGAAAAGAGUAUGUUCUUGGGUUCCAAAACAACUAUAAAGUCACUUUUCCCAAAAGGUACAUUGCAUUAUUUCUUGGACUGUUGUAUUAUGGGGGUGGCAGUGGGAGUGGAGCUAGGAUGAGUAACAGUUUUGGAACAUGAAGCUCUACAGUUUUUCCAUUUUCUGUCUAGCUGAGAUGGAAUUAAAGAAAAAAAAUUAAAACUACCUCAAGAAUCUCCUCCAGAACAUUUUUAGUUCUAUUACCUUGGGAAAGAAUCUAAUAAGUCCAAGUUUAAUCUUUUUCCUUGUGAAAACUCAGGCUUUCCGUGCUUCCUAUGAUGUGAUGAGUUUCAUGAGCUUAAAGUGAAAGAGAAUAUUCAUCCAGUGCCCUGAUUUCUUUCCUUUUCCCUUCUUUUCUUUCCUUUACUCCUUGUUGUUCACUUUACGUAAAGACAUCUUGGGAAUAUGGCUAAUAGUCAUAAAAGAAUGUAGAUGCCACAGAAUGAAGCAAUCUUAAGUGGGACAUGGAUGAGAGCAUAAUAGAAUACAUGUGAUUUUAAAGAGCAGAAUAGGGGACUAUGUGGGGAAAGGAAGAAAAUCAGCCAGAAGAGGCAGGAAACAAGGGGUAGGGAAGUGGAUGAGGGGAACAAAUAAGAAAAAAAGUGUAAUUAUACUUAAGAAAAUGACAUAAUGAAGCCCAUUACUUAAUAUGCUAAGUUAAAAAUCUAAUUAAAUGAGACUGACCUAAGCUCUCUGCACACACGUUACAAUUGUGUAGUCUGAUCUUCUUGUGGGUCUCCUAACAGUGAGAGCAAGAGCUGUCUCUGACUGUGUUGCCUGCCUUUACGACCCUAUCCCCUUACUGGGUUGUCUUGUCUAGCCUUAAUAAAAGAGGAGGUGUCUGGUCUUACUGAAAGUUGAUAUGCCAUGGCUGGUUGAUAUCCAUUGAGGCCAGCCUUUUCUGAAGAGAAGUGGAGAAGGACUGGAUUGGGGGUUGAGGUGGAAGGGGGGAGACUGGAAGAAAAUGAAGGAGGUGAAACUACAGUCAGGGUAUAAAAUAAAAAAAAUUAAAAGAAAAAAGAGAUAGUUCCAAUAAAUAGAUAAAUAAAUUCUGAAACUAAAAGAAACAAACACUUAAUUUAAAAAAUAAUGUAAAUGUUGACAAUAUACUGUGUGAGUUCAAAUAUUAGCUCAGAUACUUACAAGCUCUACAGCAAUAGAUAACCUACUUAAUUUUCAUAUACCUCAAUUUCCUUGAUUGUAGAUAAUAAGAUAUCUCUUUUGGAUUUAUUGGGUUGAUUAAAAACAUGUCUUGGUCUUCCUCUUUAUAGAUAGACAUAUAGAUAGAACCAAUGUUUGAAUGCUCUGUUCUCAUUAGGUCAUGGGGAGAGGAAAUGGAUAACGUGGUUUCUUAUAGCCCCUUUCAAAUGAAGAAUUCUGGGUCUUUUAGAAAAAUCUAGUUUGGAACUAACAAGAUAGCUCAGAUGGGUUACAGUGCUUGAUACUAAGCCUGACAACCUCACUUUGAUCCUUAGGAUCCAUAUGGUAGAAGGAAAGAGCUAACUGCUGUAUGAUGUCCUUAAACCUCCACCCAUAUGUUUCUUCCCACAAAAAAUAAGUAAAACAUAAUGCCUUUUUUUAUUAGAAAAAUCCACAUUUUGCUUCUAGAUAUUUAUUUAAAAUUUUUCAGAAUUGAUUAUAUAUAACUCUGUGCUAUAACAUUUGUGUGCUAUUCACAAGGCCCUCAGUAACCCCAAACACACACACACAUACACACACACACACACACACACACACACACACACACACGGGAGAAAGAAAGAAGGGAAUAAGAAUGGAAGGAAUUGUUCAUUGGUGAUUUACCUUGAAUACCUAAAAGAGUUCUGCAUCUGGUCUAUGGUCUAUGACACAGCACAUUUUCAUGGGAGUGUCUUGAAAUGAAGAAAGAAUGAAUUACAGAACUUUAUAUACUACAGAUUCUAUCAAUUACAAGAGCUUUAAAAAUCUCUUGAGGCUCAGUAUAUUCUUAUAAUAGUGAGAGGUGAUGGCAUAUGUGACACAUACCAUGUAGUGGAGAGGGAGGGAGCUCAGCUAGAAGAAAAACUGGAUUUAAAUUUCAGCUUUGCUAUGCACCACUUACGAAUAGACCAGUUGCUGCAAUUCUUAGUCCUCAUUAUUCGUUAAAAUCUGGCUCAUGAUAUUUUUGACACGUCUUUCUACAACAGUGACACCUCGCACUGAGGUUUUUUUUUUUGUUUGUUUGGUUGGCUGGUUUUUGUUUUUGUUAAUUCUGUGUUAUUCAAAUUGCAGGGUGGACCCUACCUUGGCCUAAGAUUUUUGGGAAGCAAGUGAAGUGUAGGAUCUGGGGUACUCACAUUGCUAGGCUGUUGCACAUGGUUAUCCUAUCGUACCUAGGCCUAAGUUUGAGAGGCAGUGUAAGUUUAUGAAUUGCUGGACAUUCAAUUGCUGGUUGACAGGUUGCAUGACACCAGCAAUCUUUGGACAAGGCUACAGUAGGUCUUAUAUGCUAUCUUAGGGAUCCUUCAGAAUGGGACAUUGCAUGGGCAUCCUGACCCAAGAUAGGCCUCGAGUAAGGGAACCCUGCUGUCAGACAGGGUUAUGGGUUAUUCUCCAUGACAGAAUAUUACUAACGUUAAGGAUAACAGCUUGCCCUGGCUUUAUUAGGUGUCAGGAGUCCUUUGUGAUUCUUUGUGUUUCUUUAGCCUGUGGUGGUAUGCAUACUACAUCAACUAAGCCUUGGUAUGAGCUUAUUAAGGGAACGAUAAGGUCAGGUCAACUACCAGAGCCCUUGGGUUAUAACACUGGUUCUCGACCUGUGGGUCACAACAAAGAAAAAAUUAUCUAAAAACACAAAUAUUUUCAUUAUGAUUCAGAACUACAGUAAAAGUAAAGUAACAAAGUAUCAAUGGAAAAAUAUGGUUGGGGCUCAUCACAACAUGAGGAACUAUAUUAUCGGUUGCAGCCUUAGGAAGGUUGACAAAUCAGUGUCUUUUGGUAACAGAGAAGUUGGGAUAGAUUUUGGUCACGCUUGGUAAAUGUAAGUACAUAUGACCCCUGAAAAACCUUCAUCCCGGUGAGUAUGCACAGUGUGGUAGAGGAUUACCUGUGUUACUCACUAGACUUUGGUGUUGCACAGGCUUUUGUACCCUCAUCAGGCAUUCAUAGAGUAUGGGGAUCGCAUGGGUGAAUGAAAAGCUAUACACACUCUUGCAGGUUAAAAUGAGUGUGAGCAACAGCAUUCCUGAUGUUUCUGGGAUGACUAAAAUUUGUGAAAUGGAGAGACAAAAGAACAUCACCUGACUGGCCAGGAACACAAAACUGAUCAACACCAUCAAGUCCAGGGAGUGAUGGGCAGAACCAAGGAGGAUGGAUUGAGGUCACCCCAUAAUUUGUGUUGGUGAAAUGGUUGUGGGACCCCUUCUAAUCCUGGGAAGGGUGGACUGCAUGAGCAUGAAGAGAUCUGGGCCUCAAAGCUGGCUGAUGUGAUGCCCAUGUGGGACCUCAGCUAGGCACCUGACUUUGGUGAUGGGCUGCAAAUGUCUAUGUUGGUCUCACUUCAUUGGACUGGCACAAAGAAUCUCUGUUCUUAGCUUGGCCCUGCCUUAUGAAGUCUCAGCCAGGCAUGUGGAGACUGGAGCAGUCCCUUGCUAGUCUAGUGCACAAGGUAUGCAAAUCCAUCUAGAUCUGAAGGUAUAUGAACAUGGCCUGUGAAGGUAUGUCUGUGUAAUUCACAUUGCAGAGUUCAAACAUAGGCUGUGGACCUUACCAUGGUAUGGGAUUUGGGGAAGCCUGUGCAGUUGAAGAUCUGGGCUAUUCACCUUGCUGGACUGUUGAAUAUGUGACACAAAUCUAUGGAGUCAUAAAUAAUCUGGACCACUGUGGGAAGAUAAAGUUCUGUAGAACUCAUAAGGCUCAGCUCAUGUGCAGGCUGUUUGACCCAAACUAUGUAUGGCAGUACCAAGAAAGUAGGGCAUCUGUACCAUGUUAUACAGUCACCAGGAUGGGAUGUUGCAUGGGUAUUUUGAUUUCACAUUGACCAGAACUGCAGGAUGCUUUAAAACAGUAUGAGAUUACGUCACAUUUUGUGAAGAUCUGGUAUGCAGACUACAAAUCACCAGCUGGUCAUUGGAUGUGCAGAAGCUGUGGGCUCCUGUGGGCAUGCUGUUUUGCUCACUCUGGCUUGUGGUGUUGUGCAGAGUGCUAUAUCAACAAGGCCUUGGUGUAAGCCAGGCUGGGGAAACAAUGGGAUCAGGGGGAACAACCUGGCUUUUUUCUCUAAGAAUGUGUUGGAAGACUCUGGUUUUUAAGGUCACAGUCAACCAUGUCUGGACUGCUCUCCCAAGCCUGGUGCAGAAUGCAUGACUCCCUUUCUUCACAGGGGGCUUCUUUCUCUCCCCCUGAAUUCGCUGGAAGGGUUUCUAGGAAACACCUCCCUCUACCCUUGAGGGAGGUCAAAGAGUCCAUAGCCAAAAAUGCAGGUUCACUUCCUUUCUCCUCAUCAGAACCUGGCCAACAAAUAUCUGGAAUUCCCAGAAUAUAUAGCAUUCCCAGCACCUCAAGCUUCAGUCAAUAGUAUACAUGUACCCUGGGAAUCCCUUACCUAUACCCCUUUGUUCACUGUGAAUCCAGUUGAGCAGUGAUCUUGAAGCUACUUCCAGAAUGUUGUUCUGUCAUUCUCAAGGGCCAUCUGAACACCUGAACAUUCCCCCUCCCCAGCCCAUUGCCUCUGAUCACUUAGUUCUCAUGUAACAACUGGCACCCAAACAGGGACACCGGAAUGCACAGGAUUUGUGAGUACUCCUUGAGAGGGUAGCAGCAUUUGUGUGUGUGUGUGUGUGUGUGUGUGUGUGACCAUCCUACCUGAGGACCACUUGUUUAUUUUAUCUUCUUUGCUUUACUUUCUCAGUUUGUGCCUUCACCGGGGACCUGAUACAUUUUGAGGACAACUGAAGCCUUUGGAUCAGGGCUGCUCCCCAAUAUUGGCCUCCUACCUUCUUUCUGAGCCCCAACAACCCAGCUGGGUGUAGGCAAUAAUCUUUUUGUCAUAAAGAACUUGGUGAUGCAGCAGCCAUUUAAAAGUCCAUAGGAAGGUUGCCAGGCUUGUUCUUGUUACAGUGUCUCAAUCCCCAGGUGGCAAAAUUGCCUCAGGAACAUUGAGUGUCUCUGGCAGAACUUCCUCCCUUUCUUGUCGUGGAGAAUUCAACAUCACACCAGAGGGAUUUACAAAUUUGUUUUCUUAGAACCUUACUUAAAUCAAGAGGACUUAAAAUCUCCCAAAAGGAAGGUCUGGUAUUCUGGAAUAAGGUACUUCAAUUUGCACCAUGGGUCCUGUAGGCAGAUAUCUACAACCCAGAUGUCUAGAUCCGAGUUGCCUAUCUGGCUCAUAAAAGAAGAAGGCUGUCCAGGAAGGCUGUCUUCAUCCUUCUUCUUCUUCUUUCAGUAAUAGCUACUAUUAGGCAAUGCAUCGGAAAACAAAACAAAACAAACAAAAAAAACCAAGCCUUAAUAACCCAUUAGAGAAAAAAAAAAAACAAAAAACAGGAGGAAAAAAGACAAGAUUCAAAGAUUCAAAUAAGGAGGAAGACCCUGUGGAUUGUUCAGUAGCUGAUUUGGCCACUUUAGAGAACACAAUUGAUCUAAUCAAAGAAAAGUUACUCCUUAACCCACAACACCCCUUUUCCCCAUUCCUCUUUUCCUUCCUAUGAGUCUUCAUUGGCAACUGAGUAUAAAGACCUGGAAAUUAAGACCAAAGUUCCUAAAGACACCCAAAUAAGCCCUUCUCCAACUGGAACUAGCCAUGCACGACCUCCCCCAGCCAUUGAGCAACUCUAUAAUCUCAGAGAUGCUGGAAACAAUUACCCCCAGCCACCUUAGCCUCUAUGGCCAGGGAUCCAGAACCUCCCCCCAUAGGAACCUUUCCUGUUAAUCUACGCAUAACAAGAAAAUAUCCAGUGGCUUGGUAGCCUCUCCCAGUAGCAGACUUAUACGAGUGAUGCCAAGCUGUCCAUGAGGAUGAAUUCAUUCCUAUUGGACCAAGUCUAUUUUAUAAAACUUCCAUAGCAACCUUUUAACUCCCCAAGACUAGAAAGAUAUAUGCUAGUCCACUUUCCCUAGUCCUCUGUAAAAUGGGAAGACCUGUUUAGAGAUGAAUGUCAGAUGCGGCCUAGAAAAAAAAGAAUUAUGUAAUCAAUAAAUAAGACAAAACAAGAGCAAAAAAAGCUGUACUUCCAGGGUAACUUCUCUACAGGAAUUCAACAGGCCUUCCUCCCUCCUGGCUGCUUUAAGCAGGUUUGCUUAUGUGUACUUGACACUUGGAUCUGUUUGACCCUUGUCUACACAUCCUAGAGACCUCCUCACUGACUUUCCUAAAACAGAAACCAACUGAGACCCUCCCAGAUUUUAUACUAAGGGUGCAAGCCAAUUUAUACAGAAAAAUAACAGACCCUACAGCCAAAGUGAUGCUCCUAAAUAAUAUUAUCUGGCAAGGAAUGAUCCCAGAAUACAGGUAGGCAUACCAGGGACUAAAACAUAAACUAAUGAUAAAUGGAUCAUGGCUACCCACAACAUUGCAACUGCCUCAUACCAGGACUCCUAUCUUGCUCAAAACUUUGCAGCUGUAACACAGUCCAAUUUGCCGUGUUUUAAAUAUGGAGAGACCAGACACUGGAAGAGAGAUUGCCCAAAAAAUGACCAGCUUCACUUAAACCUCCUAAAUCCGUCCCCACUGCAGGAAAGGCUUUCAUUGGAAAAAUAAUUGCAAUUCCAAAUAUGAUAAAGAAGGCAAGUCCCUUCUACCUUUAAACUCCUUGUGGGGCAACCCUCAGCCCCACCAGUAAGACAAAAAACAAACAAACAACAACAAACAAACCCACAAGUCCAGUGGGUCACUAAAAUAUUAGAAAAAGCUCAUCCUAAAUUCUCAAUAAAAACUGACAGUAAAAAAAACUUUAAAUACCUGAUAGAUACAGGAGCAGAUAAGACCAUCCUAAUAUGAAGUCCUCCCACGUUGAACUCUUACUAGGACCUCAACUAAUGGAAGUAGGAGAUCUUCCCAAACAUUUAUUACCCAUGACUUUUAUAAAUGGGAAGACCCAGAUAGAAUAAAUGGGACUAUUAGACCCCUAACGGCUGACAUGGUCACUAACUUACUAGGUAGAAAUAUCUUAGAAGUUUUAAAUGUGGUCUUUUCUACUAGGGAACAGGGAGAAUUUCUCCAGAUAGAAGACUACCAGAAAAAUUAAGAUCAAAAGAAUUCCCAAUUAGAAUGGUCCACUGUUGAAUACCUGCCUGGAAUAGAUCAUGGAAGAUUUCAUCUGGGUGAAAUAGUAGCCUCUAAACAGGGAGAAAUUAAUAAUUUUACAACAAUUAGUUAAACACCAAUUAGACAUGGGGCACACUGGUCCCUCUAGGAACCUUUUGGAAUACCACAGUUUUUUUUUUUUUUUUUUUUUUUUUUUUUAAUUAAAAGGAAAAACAAGACCUGGAGGCUCUUCCAGAAUCCAAGACUAUGAAAAUUUGGGGGUCACCUCAACACAACUUCCCCCUUGCCCCAUAAAUACCCAUUACUAGUUUUAGACAUUAAAGAUUGCUUCUUUUCAUUUCCACUCCAUGAACAAGAUUGAAAGUGCUUUGUCUUCUCAGUACCUAAAGUCAAUAACUCAAGACUAGCUAACAGGUUUGAAUGGAGAGUACUCUCCCAAGGCAUGGCUAACAUCUCGACUAUUUGCCAGGAAACUGUAGCCCAGGCAUUAAAACACCUUAUUAAAUCAGGUCCCCAUACAUAUCAUUACAUGGAUGACCUAUUAAUGUGACAAGAUUAAAAAGACAAGAUCAAAAACUAGCUUUAGAAGAUCUUAAACAGGCCACAAAGGCCCUACCUAAAAGAUAGAGGCUUUACUAUAGCAGAAGGUAAGAUCCAGCUCUUAACACCCCCCCACCCAUAACAUUCCUAGGGACCAAAAUUACCCAAACCUCAGGCUGGCCAGCUAAACUGGCUGUUGACUUCCCCGAUCUGUUAACCUUAAAUGUCCUUCAAAGCUUCGUAGGCGGUAUCAGUUGGCUUAGAUCUUGACUUCCCAUACCGACCAGCCAAUCACAGUCUCUAUUUGACUUACUUAAGGACAACAAAGCCCCCUCCUCUCCUUGCUCCUUGACACCAGCAGCCAAGGAGGCCCUUUAUUUUAUUUACCACAUUAAAAAUAUCUUCCUGGCUUGCUAUAAUCUACCACCAGACACCCAAUUAAACCUGGCAUUGUUCACACUUGAUGUGUUAAAUAUCUAUGCUACCCAGAAUGAACCUUCCAUUGUUCAACACAGAAGUCAGCCAACACAUACCACCCAUUCUGGUCAGGGGGAAGGACCCACUUGACAGGUGUUGGAGGAGGCCCGACUCCCUGCUAACAAUAGGAAGGGGCUUUGUUUGUGUCUUUCCACAGGACCAGCCUAGGCCUAUUUGGGUCUUUUCCAGCAAUGUCCAACACCACCCCACCAACCAAGAAGUUGGCCCAGCUCUCACUGAUAGAUGAUCAAGGAUGAAAAAGAUUAAAGAGAUACCUUUCCUUCCCCAAAGAAACAACAAGCUCUACUGGAAGGACAUCCGUGACCUAGUGGCAGCUGCCAGGGCAUGUGCUCUCCACAGGCUUCCCCUUCCUUUAUUCUUAUGGCUGUCUGUUAUUCUUCAUUGUAACUCUGCUACUGCCCAGCCUCUUUCUUAGUCUCCCAAAACCCAUCACUGGAGAUUCUUUGCUAGGGAGAACUACAAUGAACACAACAAAGAUAUUAGAAACUAGGACUGCCCACUUGAAGGAUGCUGGACCAGGACUGAGAUCCCUCUAUACCCUGAAUCCAUCUCCACUAUCCCUAGCCCUUUCUUCUGCUGUCCUUACCAGAACACAGGGACUGCCUCCAGAUGGCCUUCAUGUAUGGAGGCUGCAGACUUUGGGGGUGCCAAAUUGAAUCACCAGUCAUGAUGAUACCACGCUCACCAACCUUAAAACUCAUUUGCAGCUUUCCAUUGUGCAACCUUGGGAUGAAUAAUGGUGGAUAGAAGUCAUGGAUAAGCACUACUCAGAUGGAUUUGCUAAAUAUCCAUAGCUGAUUUACACACCUCCUGCUAGUUUUUCCCCGCCUCUAGUCUUUACUCACAUUAACAUUCUUCAACAGGAAUAUCAAACUUGGAUGGAGUUCUAAACCACCUUUUCCUGACUACAGUACAUCCGAUGUACAGCCAACCUCCUUCCCCUAACCACCUACUCCAACUUCUCCUAUUGUUUCUUCUGUGCUUCCUUCUCCCAGCCACUAUUAGCAGCUGUUCCCAUUAAUGUCUUGCUUCCUGAACCCAACUGGACCUUAUUCACAGGGAAUUUACGAAGCUUUUCUCUCUUCAACCUACACCUCCCCCUUUGCAGGGCCCUCAUCAAGAUCCCACUCUACAUGUUCCUGUAACAUCACCGUCACCAAGCCAGUAUGUGCUAAUGGCCCAUGCCACCCCUAAUUACCCUCCCCUGCUCUUCUUUGGUGUGCAAUAACACUACUGAUUCUUUCAUUGAACCCCUUUCCAAGGUUUCUGCACCCCAUGAUUAUGGUUCCCCAGGUUUAUCUCUACGACCCUGAAGAACUCACUUUAUCGCUGCAAGGAGACCAAAAGAAAAGAGAGAUCUUCAUCCCUCUAUUGCUCAGACUGGGUCUUGCUGCCUAGUUGGGAGCCACCGGAACCCCUGGAGCAUCCCUUGUCCAAGCCUACCUUCUGGCCAGUGACUUCCAAGACAAACUUGGCUAGUCAAUGGCUUCUGCUCCAGACAGUCUUGAAUCCCUUCAAUGACAGAUAACCUCUCUAGCAGAGGUUACUCUCCAAAAUUGGAGAGCUUCAGACUUAAUGACUGCUGAACAAGGAAGGUCUUGCAUUGUGUUGGGGAAAGAAUGCUGUUUCUAUGUUAAUGAAUCUGGGCUGGGUGAAAUAGGACAUGUAUAUGCUCAAAGAUCUCCGACUGGAUCUCUGAACAUGCUAUGUACCCAAUAUACCAACCCCAUGGUACUCAAACCCUCUUGUGGCUUGGCUUCUCCCAGUACUGGCUAUCAAAUCCAUGCUCUUCCUGGCACACUGCCUCAUCCAAUUUUUUAAAUGUCAGAUAAGCAGCAUUGCAAAAAUCACUGUCAAUUGGGUUCUGGUUCGGUACCAAGCUGUUCCUAACAUAGAGACCAAGGAUCAUAAUUACACUUCUCCAUUAUAAAUAAAACAUGGAAAGAUGUUGGAAGACCCUGCUAUUUAAGAUCACAGGGGGCUUCUUUUUCUCUGCUAAAUUCACUUGGAGAGUGUCUCUAAGCAUGACCCCCCAGCCCUGAGGGAGGUCAUGUAUUCCAUGGCCAAACUUUUGGCCACGGCCAAAAGUUCCAGGUUCAACUUAUUUUUUCUCCUGAUAAGAAACUGCCAGACAAGUAUCUGGAAUUCUUGGUAGGUCAAAGACCCAGCCAAUAGCAUACACCCACCCUCUCAUGCACCUCACAAGAAUUGUAUAGCCUUUGUUCACCCUGAAUCAAGCUUGUCCUGGAAAGUUAUUCCAUUGUACUUGUGGGCCGUUCAAAACUCCCCUAUCCCUCACCUUUGCUCCCUUCACCCUCAUAGAGCAAUAUUGGCCAAUGAUAGAGAAGGUACGAUAGAGCCUAAGUUAUUCUCCAGGGUUGACAAGUGUAAGGCUGUAUGCCUUCACCAAAUCCUGUGUUCUGGGUGAAUAGAGACAAUGUGGUUGGGGAUUACCUGUGUCACUCACUAGACUUUGGUGUUUCAUAGGCUCUUGGACCCUAGGCAGGCAUUCUAGAGUGAAUGAAAAGAUACAGAAACCCUCGAAGGCUGCUCUGAGAGUGAGCAACAGCAGUCCCAAUGAUUCUGGGAUGAUUAAAAUUUGGUGAAAUGAAGAGACAAAAGAAAAUCAACUGACUGGUCAGGAACACAAAACUGAGGAACCCUAGCAAGGCCAAGGGGUGAUGGACAGAGCCAAGGAGGGGGGAUCAGGGUCACUCAUAUUCUGAGUUGGCAAAGUUGUUGUGUGUCCCCAUCUAGUCACGGGAAGGAGAAACUUUGCGUGAGCAUGAAGGGAUCUGGGCUUCAAAGCUGGCUGGUCUGAUGCAAAGAUGGCACCCAAGCUAGGCUAUCGGACUGUGGUCAUGGGCUGCAAAUGUCUGUGUUGGUCUUGGUCCGUUGGAUUGGCACCUAGAAUCUGUGUCCUCAGCUCGGCCCAGCACAGUAAGGUCAUGGCUGGGCACGUGGGGGACUGGAGCAUUCCUUUGCUGGUCUGGUGCACAAGGUGUGCCAGUCUAUCCAGAUCUGAGAGUAUGUGACCAUAGCCUGUCAGAGAAGCCCUGCAUUCUUCAGUUUUGUCAUGGGUUCCCAGCUUGGCCUAAGGGUUUCAGAUUGCAUGUGGAGUUGAGGAGCUGAGGCAGUCAUAUGUCUGUUCUGGAACACAUGAAGCCUGACCCCAUCUAGGCCUAAGAAUAUUGCAUGAUAGCCUCUUUUGAAAGAUAUCUUUAUUAACUCCACUUUAUUCCCUUUGUAUCCUAGCUAUAGCUCCCUCCCUCUUCCCCUCCCAGUCCCACCCUCCCUCCUUCAUCUCCUCCCAUGCCCCUUUCCAAGUCCACUGAUAGGGGAGGUCCUCUUCCCCUUCCCUCUGACCCUAUCUUACCAGGUCUCAUCAGGACUGGCUACAUUGUCUUCCUUUGGUAUUAUAUCAUAUUAAAAUAUGUCUGGUUAUGCAUGUUUUGUGCAGAAUCUAGGACCUGGUGUAUAUGGCCAAUUGUGGUAGGUAAUUAUAAUGGUGUCAAAUCACUAAGUCUUCUUCGUUGGUCACCAUUCUCUUGGUAUCUCUGAAGUUAUUUUUCUGUAUCUGCCUGGUAGUUUCCAGCUUUUCCCCUUGAUACUCCUGUAUAGGGGUCAGGUUUUUCUACUUCUUCCAGCUUUAUAUAUUUUUCGAAUAUUAAUUCUUGCCCAAUGGAUGACUUUUGUGUCCAUAUUCUUUUCUGCAUUGUCUGGUAAAACAGUGAAAGACACGUUUCAGUGGUGUGCCUUUGCUUUCACAAAGCCUCUUUAGAUGUAACAAUUACCUGUUUGUAUUUUAUGGCUCCUACUCCGAUGUCUUUCAUAAACAUCACUGCUUUGAUAUCCAUGAUCCCUUUAUCUCUUUUUACCCAAUUUCAAAAAGUUUUCCAUGUGAUGUUUUCACAUUAAGAGCUCUAUUAAUCCUGAAAGAUAAUCUCUGCCAUUUAUUAUUCCAGCUACUUCGGUUUUGCUCAUUAAAGGGUGUUACAAAUUCAGGUUUUAUCUAGUUGCCUAUGCUCUGUCCAGGCAGUAAAUCUUUAAAGUCAACUCUUUCCAAAAAAGGUCACCUCAUGUGGGUUUCAAAGGAAGUUUACCAUUUCUGUAUCUUCACCAUCAUAUUUAUUCUAGUCAGGAAAAAUUAUUGUAUUUAUGUCUUCCACAGCUGGAUUUGUUUUGGUCACAUAGGGGUCAUGAAUCUCUAUGUCAAGUUAUAGCUCCCUUCAAAUUAUAAUAUCUACUCUAUGUUCUUGUCUUCCCAGAAAUAUUGCCCUGAAAGCUACUGAAAUCUUCAGUUUCUACAUCCUUUGAAGUCAUAAUUUUUCUUGAGUGCUCCCCUCCACAAGCAAUAACUGGUGAUGAGAAUGACUAACAUUUUCUUAUCUAUAUUAUAGAAUGUAUUAUGCAUGCUAUAUUUUCCACCAUAGGUAAUAUUAUUAGAAAAUAAACAUUCUAAAUCAUGUCCUUUUAAUCCACAGCUUCUUGGUGCAUUGAAGAAGUUUUUCAUAUCAAUUUAUUACUGAAACUGAGUACCCAUAAGAGAUGUAAUCCAGUUCUAAGUCUUACAUAAUCUUAAGGACUUUAAUUGCAAAAAUAUCUGGUAUGGCUUAUUCACUCAUAAGGGUUUUAAAAAUCAUGAUAUAACUUUUCCAUGCCUAUACAUUUCUAACACACAACUACUCUAGCAAGAAAUUGAAUUCUCUGUAUUCACAGUCUCCCUGUUGUGGUUUUAAUACUGAAAUAAGUCAUCCAUCACUAUAUCUUUCCCUUGAUAUUGAUGCUCUUGACAAGAAAGUGAGGCUCAUCUUCUGUGUCCUCUCAUUCAAUGCAGGGUCCAUAGCUGUUAAUGCCUUCUGAAUCCAUUUCAUCAUGAGCUAGAGUUGCUUUGUAAAGCAAGAAGUUUUCCAUUAUUAUGUCUUCCCAAUCUGUAUCCGCUUAAAGAAAUUUUCCUGUUUCUCCUCUUUCAUAGGCUCAACAAAGUUGGUCAGAAAAAAGUUUCCACCUUUGGUCAAGAAAUAAGUUCUUUACCUUCAUGCUUUUUUGGCACCUUUGCUUUGAUAAUGUAAGAAGCAACUCCUUGUUUGUGCCUUUCAAAGACAAUCUGCUCUGGUUUUGAAAGUAAUCUUUAAACACUGUAUAUUAUAGCUUCCCCCAAGUAUAUGUAUGUGUAUGUGUGUGUGUGUGUGUGUGUGUGUGUGUGUGGUGUAUGUAUGUAUUUCAUUUUCACACUGUAUGUUUUGGCACUUUUUUCUUAUCCUGCCUGUAUCCAACCUAAGAAAGAUACUUACAAGUGUAGCAGAGAAUAUAUUGUAGUCAUAGUAAGACAAUGGCUAGAUCAGCAGCUACUUCUCUAAAAGGUGAGUGGAUCUCAGAAUCAGUCAUAGAAACCUUCCUUAAAAUGUCAGGAAUCCACUAGGGUACAAUGAAGCUUUCUAUGUGCAAAGUCAAUGUCUGCCUUGGAGAGAGGAUCUGCGGAUAUAUGUCUGUCUCAUUUCAGCCCUUUCAUCAGACCAAACAUACCAAGAAUACUUGGUAUGUAAAAACUUGUAAAAAGUCGCCUGUGGGUGAAAUACUCCUUUCAUAAGAAUACCAUGAGUGCUGGGGUUGGUGGUAUAAUCCUGUAAUCCUAGCACUAAAAUUAGAAAUCAGUUGUAUUACAGCCUAGCCUGGGUUGUAUGGUAAGAACUUGUCUUUAAAAAAAUCAUUAAUUUGUAUUACUUUUACUCAUAUUUGCUGUUCUUUAUUUGUAAUAUCCCUGGAAUCUCUGAACCUCAUUUGGCGCAACAUCAUGUCUUCGUAUACUCAAACUGAGGAAUACAUUUGGACAAUUGUAUCUGGAUUUUCCUCAGGCUUGGUGUUUGGUAUUUUUUUGUGUAGACCUCCACACUAUCAUUAUAGAACUGUCACGUAUUUGCUCUCUCAAGAGAAGCAGCCAGUCAACAAGCCGCUACAUUCCAACAACUUGUCUACGAACUGGCCACAAGCCAAAGUCCCAAUGACCAUCUGGACAUCAAGAAUCACUUCUUCAUAUUUCCGUAAAUGAUAGUUUGGCUGUGCUUGUAAUCCACGCUACUUGAGAGGCUGAGGUGGUUAGAAUUACUUGAGCCAAAGUGCUGAACUGACCAUCCUGAGCAAUAUAUAAUAUGACACCAUCUCAAAUCCAAAUCAACAAAACAGCAGAAAAUAAAUUCAAAGAUUUUCUGGUGAGCUUGCUGAGGAGAAAGAUUAUAUUGUUAAAUUUUAAGGGGUAAUGCCAUUGAUAUUUUAUAUUGAUGGUGUCUUAUUAGUUAAGCCAAAAAUAUAUCCAUUCUGAACAACAUACAUUCCUGUAUGAACUUUUGGGAUGGGUGAGGUACUUGUGUGAAUAUAUGUGAUGAGAUAGCAUUUGUGCCAAUUUAGACUGAUACUGUUAUUUUUAGUAUAAUGAUGGUGCAUUAUGUAACUUUUUUUUCAUUAAAUUGUGUAGGAUUGGUAGAUUGGGGUAUACAGUUAAGAUGGUGGACUAGAAGCUGCAUCUGAGCCAGUAGAUAAAAAAGUGCGAUGAUAAAAACAUAAAAAAUCCUAUUUAUAUACAAGAAAGACUAAAAUAAAUAAAGAAAACUAAGGCAAAGCCUGCAUUUCUCCACAGUAAAUGUGCCAGAUCCACAAGAAAUCAUUUGUGGUACUACCUGCUGACUGACAUCAGCUGUCGCAGCCAGCACUAUGUUCUCACAGGUGAUACCAUGAGAGCUCAAGAGAGAAGGUCUGGACUGUGUAAACACAAUUGGAUGGGUACAAAUUCUAUACACAAAACAGAACAGAGUAUUGUAGGUGUUGAAUGAGUAGCAGAAAUGUGAUUUAAAAAUCUGAAGUUGAUGAUUACUACACAUUAAUAAUAUCAGGCAUAAUCAGUGGGAGAUUUCACCAAUCUCUUCUUUAGGCACAUAAUUCAAACUAAAAACAAUCAAAGCAGCAGUACAAGUAAAUAACACUAUACUGCAAUUGCAUUUAAGAGAUACUUAAACUUUAGGCAGAAUGCAUGAAAUUUUAUGAAAGAAAGGUGAAAUUUUAUGAAAGAAGGGGGAGAUGAAAGACCUGGAGGGGACAGGAGCUCCAUGAGGAGAGCAACAGAACCAAAAAAUCUGGUCACAGGGGUCUUUUCUGAGAUUCAUACUCCAACCAAGGAACAUGUACAUGGAGAUAACCUAGAACCCCUGCUCAGAUGUAGCCUAUGGCAGCUCAGUCUCCAAGUGGGUUCCCUAGUAAGGAGAAUAGGAACUGCCUCUGACAUGAACUCAUUGGCUGGCUCUUUGAAAACCUCCCCUGGGGGGCAGGGUGCAGCCUUACAGGCCACAGAGGAAGAUAAUGCAGUUAGUCCUGACCUGAUAAGCUAGGGUCAGAUGGAAGAGGAAGAGGACCUCCCCUAUCAGUGGAUUAGGGGAGGGGCAUAGAGGAAGAAGAGGAAGGGAGGGUAAGAUUGGGAGGAGAUGAGGGAGGGAGUCACAGCCAGGAUAGAAAUUGAAUAAAUUGUAAUAAAUCAUAAUAAUUUCAAAAAGAGAAGAAAAAGGAGUAUUCUAUCCAACAAAAAGGGAAUAUAAUUAUUCCCUGCCUCACAUGGGCCUUCUCUAAAGCUAUUCACAUUAUAGGACACAAAGCAAAAUCAAAGCAAUAACAUUUCAUCAGAUAAUAGUAGACUAAAAGAAGCUACAUGAAUAUUUAAUGUUGUACAAUACAUUUUUGAGUGAACAGUGGGUCACUGAGGAAAUCAAGAAGAAAAGUUUUUGACAUUCUAUAAAUAAAUAAAAAUUAUGACAUAACCUACCAAAACUUAUGAGAAACACAAAAGCGUUCAUAAAGAUUAUAGUUCUAAAUACUUACAUUAAAAAAAUUAAUGGCUCACAAAUAAAUAACCUGAUUAUAUACCUCAAAGUUCUAGAAAAAGAAGAAAUUGAACUCAAAUGAUAUGACUGUUGAGAUAAUAAUACUCAGAAGCAAUCAAACAAAAAGUUAAUUCUUUGAAAAGAUAAGUAAGUUCAGAAAAAUCUAAAGAAAAGUAGACACCUUUAAUUCCAGCACUCUGGGAGGCAGAGGCAGGUGGAUCUCUGUGAGUCUGAGGCUAGCCUGGUCUACAAAGUGAGUCCAGGACAGCCAAGGCUAUACACAGAGUAACCAUGUCUCAAAAACAAAAGCAAGAAAAGUAGAUAAUAUAAAAAUAAAACUAUAAAUGAAAAAGAAGCUAUUUUAGCAGGCUCUUAUGAAAUCCAGAGGGACAUUAGGGAAUAUUUUGAAAACUUAUAGUCUAAAAAACUAGAAUACAGGGGCCAGGGAUGUAGCUCAGUGGUAGAGUCCUUGUCUGGCAUGCUCAGAAUUUGGAUUUGAUUCCUAGUAUUUUCAAAAACAGUAUCAAAAUGUUGGAAAACUUAAAAGAAAUGCAUACAUUCCCAAAUGCAUAUAACCUGCCAACACAAAUGCAAGGAGAUAUGCUAACUUCAAGAGAUGUAAAAUAAGCGAUGACAUUGAAGUCUUCCCACAUUGAAAAGUCAGUGGUUGGACAGAUUCACUACUGAAUUCUAAAAAUCUUUAAGGAAGUCUAGCACCAACACCCCUUCUUCCUCUUCUUCUUCUUCUUCUUCUUCUUCUUCUUCUUCUUCUUCUUCUUCUUCUUCUUCUUCUUCUUCUUCUCUUCUUUUUGAGACAGGGUUUCUCUGUGUAGGCUUGGCUGUCCUGGACUCACUUUGUAGAUCAGUCUGGGCUCGACUCACAGAGAUCCACCUGCCUCUGCCUCCCUGAGUGCUGGGAUUAUGGGUGUGUGCCACUGUGCUCAGCUGCAUCAGCACUUCUUAAACAUUUUCAUAAAAUAGAAAUAGAGGAGACCGCUUUAAACAUCUUCUGCAAAGCUGGUAUUAUCUUGAUCCCACAUUUUGCUGGAGAACAGAUGUAAACAUUCUCAACAUAAUUGUAAACCAAAUUCAAGAACACAUUAAGAACAUAUACCACCACCAAAUUGGUUUCAUACCAAGGAUGCAAGUUUGGCAUAAAGCAUGCAAAUCAGUAAAUGUAAUGCACUGUAUUAACAGACUUUAGUACAGAAUCAUAUGAUAAUUUCCAUAGAUAUAGAAAAGCCAUUUUCAAAGUUUAACAUGUGUUAAUGAUAAAAGUCAUGAAUCUAAUAAUCAAAGGAACAUAUUUCAACUCUAAAAAGGCUACAUAUGACAAACCCAUAUAUAGUCAAUAUAUUAAAUGGGGAAAAACCAAAACUAUUUACUCUAAAAUAUGGAAUAAGACAAGGGUGCCUACAAUUAUAGAGUGUAGUGUUUAAAGCCUUAGAGCAACAAGACAAGAGAAAAAAUAAAAGGGACAUACAUAAGGAAAAAAGUCAAAUCAAAUUAUCUGUACUUGCAAAUGACAUGAGCUUCUACUUAAAAGACCUUUAACAUUACAAAGACCUUUAGAUCUGACACUUUCAACACUCUUUGUUAGAAUAUAAAAUGAUGUGUUAUUGUAGAAAAUAUUAUGGUAAUUACUUAAAAUAAUUUUAAAAUUAUAUAAUCUAACAAUUCCAUCUGUGGGUAUUCACCCAAGAAGAUUGGAAACAAGAUCUUCAAGGAAAAAUCUGUAUAUCUUUAGUCAUAGAAGCUUUUAUUUACAACAGUAAAAAGGUAGAAAUAACUCACACAUCUAUCGGUAGAAUAGAAGAAUGUGGCAUAAAUAUGCAGUAGUAUCUUAUUUGCCCUUUCAAAGAGAAGGACAAUUUGCAGGUGCUACAAUCUGGAUAAACUUUGCAGGUACUGUGGUAAAGAAAAUAAGCUCACCACAAAAAAGUAAAAAUACCGAAUGAUUUCACUAAGAUGAGUAUAUGAAGUAGUCAAAUUCAUUAAAAAGGUAUUAAUAGAAUCAUGGUUACCAGAAUCAUGGUUUUAUUCACUGUUUUAAUGCUAUGAAGAGAAACUAUGAGCACAGCAGUUCUUAUAAAAAAACAUUUAAUUGGGGCUGACUUACAUUUUCAGAGGUUUAGUCUAUUAUCAGCAUGGUAGGAAGCAUAGCAUCCUGUAGGCAGACAUGGUGCUUGAGAGGAUCUGAACGUUGUCUGUCUAGAUCCAAAGGCAGAAGAGAGAGGGAGGUAGAGAGAAAGAGGGAGAAAGAGACAGAUAGACAGAGGAUAGAGAGACAGAGAGACAGAGACAGACAGACAGACAGACAGACACACACACACACACACACACACACACACACUGGGCCUGUUUUGGGUUCUUGAAACCUCAAAGCCCACCCCAACAUCCCCAGUGACACAGUUCCUCCAAGUUGGACAUACCUCCUAAUCUCUCUCCAGUAGUGCUACUCCUUAAUGACCAAGUAUUCAAAAAUAUGAGCCUAUGGAGUCCACUCCUUUUCAAAGCACCACAGUCGUGGUGAUAUUUUUUGUCAUUCUCCUCAUCCUCCUUCUCAUUAUUAUUCUUAUUGAUUUUCUUUUUACAGAGAAUAGAAAUUUACUUUUGCCACCUGAAGAAAUUCUAUAGCUGUUUGCCCAUAAUGUGAAUAUAGUUAUUGCUGCUAUGCACUUUAAAAUGUUAACGGUGUUUUAUACACACACAUUACAAUUCUCACUUACCCUAAACUUGGAGUGACUGGAAAAGUGGAUUAAAAAUCAAACUAUAUUGUUGUGUGACUUUUCCUUGGAGGAUAUAAAGAAAUGACAAUGCAUCCCACAAAGGGCAUCACUUGUAAACUAAAAUCCAAUCUUCAUCUAAGUUCAUAUUGAUGCAUCAGCCGAUCAGUUGCCAUUACCUAUAGGAACAUGGGUGAUUGGGAAGCUACAUCAUCAACAAAGUCCACUCCCAACAUGAAUGACCACUGCAUGAAUGAUUUGGGCAGCUGAUCCACUGAAAAAUCCUACUCCAGCUUGUGGGACCAGUCACAGGAAUUGCCUAACUGGAGUUCUGUCUGCAGUCAUACUUCCCCUUCCUAAGACCACAUACAGGCGAGAGGUAGGAAGUAGUAAGUAGUGGUGUAGUGGCAUUACUUCUAAGAGCUAAUGUUAACAAUCCAGUCUACAAUAAUCAUUAGAGACUUCUAUAUGCUUUUUGAUUCUUAGAGCUAGAAAGAAGAUAAUUAAAGAAAUUUAAAAUCUAAGCAACAGAGAAUCCUCUGCAGAGGAAUAUAGAAUGGGAGAGAAACACCUAAAGAAAUGCUCGACAUCCUUAGCCAUCAGAGAUAUGCAAAUCGAAAUGACCCCGAGAUUUCACCUUUAGAAUGGCAAAGGUUAAAAACUCAAGUGACAACACAUGCUGGAGAAGCUGUAGAUAAAGGGGAACCCUCCUCCAUUGCUGGUGGGAAUGCAAACUUGUACAACCACUUUGGAAAUCAAUCUGGUGCUUCCUCAGACAAUUAGGAAUAGUGCUUCCUCAAGAUCCAGUUAUACCACUCCUAGGCAUAUAGCCAAAACAUGCUCAAGUACACAACAAGGACAUUUGCUCAACCAUGUUUGUAGCAGUUUUAUCUGUAAUAGCCAGAACCUGGAAACAACCCAGAUGUCCCUCCGUUGAGGAAUGGAUACAGAAAUUGGGGUACUUUUACACAAUGGAAUACUACUCAGCAGUUAAAAACAAGGAAAUCAUGAAAUUUGCAGGCAAAUGGUGGGAUCUAGAAAAGAUGAUCCUGAGUGAGGUAUCCCAGGAGCAGAAAGACACACAUGGUAUAUACUCACUUAUAUAGUCCUAUAAGAUAAGAUAAACAUACUAAAAUAUGUGCACCUAAAGAAGAUAAACAAGAAAGAGAACCCGGGGUAAGAUGAUCAAUCCUCAUUUAGAAAGACAAAUGGGAUGGACAUGGGAAGUAGGAGAAGACAAAAAAUAGGACAGGAGCCUACCACAGAGGGCCUCUGAAAGACUCUACCUAGCAGUGUAUCAAAGCAGAUGCUAAGACUCAUAACUAAAUCUUCGGUAGAGUGCAGGGAAUCAUAUGAUAAAAGGGGGAGUUAGUAUGAAUGGGAGAGGACAGGAGCUCCACAAGGACAAAAUCUAUCAGGGUGCGGGGGUCCUCUAUGAGACUGUUUCUCCAACCAAGGAUCACGUAUGUAUACAACCUAGAACCCCUGCUCGGAUGUAGCCCAUGGUAAUUCAGUAUCCAAGUGGGUUUUCCUAGUAAAGGGAACAGGAACAAUUUCUGACAUGAACUCAAUGACUGGCUCCUUUACUCCCCCUCCCUGCUGAGGGAGGAACAGCCUUGCUAGGCCACAGAGGAGGACAUUGCAGCCAUUCCUUAAGAUACCCUGAUAGGCUAGGGUCAGAUGGAAGGGGAGGAGGUCCUCCCCUA